AAGCAGAAAGACGUGGGCGAAGGAUUCGCAAGAGGGUCAUAUUAGACAGCGACAGCGAUGACAUAUCGCUCUCAAACACGCCGAUAAAACCGACAAGCAGAGAUCGGUCAAUGGUGUCUGCAAGGGAACGACUGCAGCGCUCGAUGCAGGCACUUCAUGGAAGCAGAGUGACCCACCCAUCACAGAACAAGGCUCCUGGGGAUGCUUCACAGAGGAAGACAUUUCCCGCACGAAGUGACGUGCAGUGCUUGGAAGGUGAGCAAGGUGGCAUCCAUCGUCAUGUCAUGUCUGGUCGUGUAAGUGCUGAAGAGCGUGG
This is a long non-coding RNA of Ornithodoros turicata, 316 nucleotides long. RefSeq lists it as uncharacterized. NCBI's taxonomy places the organism in Eukaryota, Metazoa, Arthropoda, Arachnida, Ixodida, Argasidae. The transcript is spliced from 3 exons. The record is from RefSeq and is a predicted model, not a curated record.